UUGGUGGAAACUAAAAAGCAUCUUGCUUUUCCUUUGGUGUAUCAACUUCUCAAGUUGGUGCUAAUUUUACCAGUUGCCACAGCGUCAGCGGAGAGAUGCUUUUCAGCAAUGAAUAUCGUCAAGAGUGUUUUGCGGAACAAAAUGGGUGAUGAAUUCAUGAGUGAUUGCCUGAUUUGCUAUGUGGAGAAAGACAUAUUUUCUACAAUAACGAAUGAUGAUGUGAUUGAUCUAUUGAAGAAGAUGAAAGGUCGAGAAGGGAAGUUAUAA
This 267-nucleotide ribosomal RNA is filed under the name Triticum aestivum (bread wheat). Its description in RNAcentral is "partial small subunit ribosomal RNA". The record is from RNAcentral. Lineage: Eukaryota; Viridiplantae; Streptophyta; Magnoliopsida; Poales; Poaceae.